Eremococcus coleocola ACS-139-V-Col8 is the source of this 73-nucleotide transfer RNA. It matches the Rfam family "tRNA". Rfam says of the family: Transfer RNA (tRNA) molecules are approximately 80 nucleotides in length. NCBI's taxonomy places the organism in Bacteria, Bacillati, Bacillota, Bacilli, Lactobacillales, Aerococcaceae. The record is from Rfam.
GGCUUUGUAGCUCAGUUGGUAGAGCACUUGAUUGAAGCUCAAGGUGUCGGCAGUUCGAUUCUGUCCAAAGCCA